Gambusia affinis (western mosquitofish) is the source of this 1731-nucleotide long non-coding RNA. RefSeq lists it as uncharacterized. The transcript is spliced from 4 exons. The record is from RefSeq and is a predicted model, not a curated record. Lineage: Eukaryota; Metazoa; Chordata; Actinopteri; Cyprinodontiformes; Poeciliidae.
UUUAACCUUUUUAUUGCUCUAUUGCAGCGACGUCAAACUCCAGUCCUCAAGGGCAGGUGUACUGCAGCGUAUAGAUGUGCCUCUCCUGCGCCACACCUGAAUAAAAUAAUUAGUUCAUUAAGGCUCUGUAGAACUUAUCUACACAAGGAGGAGGUCAUUAAACCAUUUCAUUCCAGGGUUCUGUACAUGUGGCACAUCUAUACGCUGCAGGACAUGGAGGACUGGAGUUUGACACUUGUGCUCUUGGCACCUUUGCCAAUAAAGAUUGGUGAAUUGAAGUAGGCAUUUUACACAUCCACUAAAGAAAAUAGUUCCAAAGAACAUUUGAAUAAGGAGGACGACCGUAUUUAUUUAUUUUUGUUUGAGCACGUUUUUGAGUGUUACAUCGGUUUUACAUUUGUUAAACCGAUGUAACACUCAAAAUUAAUCUUGUGUUUCUUGGAAAACGUAAAAUUAACUGCGGAUGGAUAUGCGGUUUCACACUCCAACGUAUUCUCCUCAUCAGUCCGUUUGCGCGGAAUCUGCAGGUUGACUGUCCUACGAAACAAUCUACUUCAAGAGCAUCAACCUGUGAAGAUCGCCUUUGACGAUUUGAAAAAGGUUGCCAUGGUUACAGAAAUUGGAGGAGUGUCCAGCUGUGCGAGUCCUCAUGCCCCAUGAAUUGGCGGUCCAGUUCAGCCUUUUUGGACGACAUUGGAAACACAAGCUCCGUGACCCGCGUCUCUUUGAAGUUGUGUAUGGGACACUUAAAAGAAAUGGAUUCAUCUACAGAAUCACACAAAGAUAUGGAAAAGGCACUCUCAAAGUGGUUUACUGGAGCCUGUGACUGGUGGAAAUAGGAAAGUUAGAACAACUAGGGAGGCUGUCAGUUCAAACUCAGGUGGGCAGAUCUUUCAAGAUGGACAGUUUCAAUAAUGUAUGAGAGCUUUCUAAGUUUAAGCAUGCAUGUGACAUGAAGGUUAUUCUUAAAAAUGUUUGACAAAACGGUAUUGUGAAAGAUCUAUAUAGCUCUGGGUAUGUAUAUACAUAUAUAUCUACAGUACAGACCAAAAGUUUGGACUCACAGUUGUGUCCAAACUUUUGGUCUGCACUGUAUGUUAUAUAGAUGGUAUUUAUAUAACAUCUAUACAUUAAUAUAGAUCUUUACAGAUAUAUGUAGGUGUCUUUAUAUGUGUGCAGCUAUAGAUAUAUGUUCAUUAAUCUAUAUUUAUAGAUCUGUUUAUAUGUUUGUUAUAGUAAACUAGUUUCUGUUUUCAAAAUGCCAUGUGAAUAAUUGUUUUUUUAUUUUAUUUUUUUUAACAGCGCAUUUUUUGUUGUGGCACCAUUUGCUGAGUGUUAAUGAAGUUCUAAUAAUUGCUGUAGUGAGGUAAAAAAAUAACUUCUGACAAUAUUUCAAAUUACAAAAUAAAACGCCUUGACCAAAAUAAAUUUUUCAUCUCUUUUUUUUUUCUAUUGCAAGUUUUAUGCUAACACAUUUUAGGACCUUUGUUUUGUUGAUCAAGAUUGCAUAUCUAAGAAUGUAAUUCACUUCCAGGUUAGGUGAGAAAGACCCCAUUGUUCCUACAAGGAUAAGGCAUCUGGGUCCCACUGAAAACCCAGUUAAAGCCCAUUAAAAUAUACCUGGGCAAACCCAUGUGGGGCCACCAUGGAGACCUUGGGUAAACCCACUUGUUACCCAUAUUCUAGCCCAGAUCAGACCCAAUUGGGACCUAGGUAAAUAUUCCUCAAGGC